RNAcentral lists this ribosomal RNA (447 nucleotides) under uncultured bacterium. Its description in RNAcentral is "partial 16S ribosomal RNA". It matches the Rfam family "Bacterial small subunit ribosomal RNA", at positions 29 to 523 of the family's 1533-position model. The record is from RNAcentral.
AACGAACGCUGGCGGCAGGCUUAACACAUGCAAGUCGAGCGCCCCGCAAGGGGAGCGGCAGACGGGUGAGUAACGCGUGGGAAUCUACCUUUUGCUACGGAAUAACUCAGGGAAACUUGUGCUAAUACCGUAUGUGUCCUUCGGGAGAAAGAUUUAUCGGCAAGAGAUGAGCCCGCGUUGGAUUAGCUAGUUGGUGAGGUAAUGGCUCACCAAGGCGACGAUCCAUAGCUGGUCUGAGAGGAUGAUCAGCCACAUUGGGACUGAGACACGGCCCAAACUCCUACGGGAGGCAGCAGUGGGGAAUAUUGGACAAUGGGCGCAAGCCUGAUCCAGCCAUGCCGCGUGAGUGAUGAAGGCCCUAGGGUUGUAAAGCUCUUUCACCGGUGAAGAUAAUGACGGUAACCGGAGAAGAAGCCCCGGCUAACUUCGUGCCAGCCGCCGCCGUAA